RNAcentral lists this long non-coding RNA (360 nucleotides) under Ictidomys tridecemlineatus (thirteen-lined ground squirrel). RNAcentral describes it as "lncRNA (ENSSTOG00000030194.1)". The record is from RNAcentral. Lineage: Eukaryota; Metazoa; Chordata; Mammalia; Rodentia; Sciuridae.
UCACCCUUGGUCCCGCCCAACACGGCGCCCACCGGGUCACGGGAGGACAAGCGACCCGAGCCUGGGGGGCGGUGCUGGCCUUGGUGACGUCUCAAUGUCAUAUGCAAAUAGUGCGACGUCAAGGUCUACCGGCGCGCGGCAACCAAUAGGGAGCCCGGAACGCAGCCCCAGCGGCCGGCCGCGGAGAUAGACAAAGGCCCCGACACAGGGGGCGCAGGGCGUGUCCCCGGGCUCAGGGAGCCCGGGGGCCCAAGCUGGCGGGGACUCACCUGGGACCCGGAGCGACGCGGCAGGCGGGGUGAUGCUGAGCUCUCUCCCCGGUUCAGGGGGGAGCACCAGCAAGUGAGGGGAAGUCGGUGA